This 437-nucleotide ribosomal RNA is filed under the name uncultured bacterium. RNAcentral's name for it is "bacterial SSU rRNA". It matches the Rfam family "Bacterial small subunit ribosomal RNA", at positions 343 to 797 of the family's 1533-position model. The record is from RNAcentral.
AGGAGGCAGCAGUGGGGAAUAUUGGACAAUGGGCGCAAGCCUGAUCCAGCCAUGCCGCGUGAGUGAUGAAGGCCUACGGGUUGUAAAGCUCUUUCACCGGGGACGAUGAUGACGGUACCCGGAGAAGAAGCCCCGGCUAACUUCGUGCCAGCAGCCGCGGUAAUACGAAGGGGGCAAGCGUUGUUCGGAAUUACUGGGCGUAAAGGGCGCGUAGGCGGCCGCGUGCGUCAGGUGUGAAAGCCCCGGGCUCAACCUGGGAACGGCACUUGAUACGGCGCGGCUGGAGAGCAGGAGAGGAGUGUGGAAUUCCCAGUGUAGAGGUGAAAUUCGUAGAUAUUGGGAAGAACACCAGUGGCGAAGGCGGCACUCUGGCCUGUAUCUGACGCUGAGGCGCGAAAGCGUGGGGAGCAAACAGGAUUAGAUACCCGCGUAGUCCA